This 682-nucleotide ribosomal RNA is filed under the name Kytococcus sp. Its description in RNAcentral is "bacterial SSU rRNA". It matches the Rfam family "Bacterial small subunit ribosomal RNA", at positions 31 to 724 of the family's 1533-position model. The record is from RNAcentral. Lineage: Bacteria; Bacillati; Actinomycetota; Actinomycetes; Micrococcales; Kytococcaceae.
UAUUGCAUGGCGCAUGCUUACACAUGCAGUCGAACGGUGAAGCGGGUGCUUGCACUCGUGGAUCAGUGGCGAACGGGUGAGAAACACGUGAGUAACCUGCCCUCCACUCUGGGAUAAGCGCUGGAAACGGCGUCUAAUACUGGAUACGACCGACCCUCGCAUGGGGUGUUGGUGGAAAGAUUUAUCGGUGGUGGAUGGACUCGCGGCCUAUCAGCUUGUUGGUGGGGUAAUGGCCUACCAAGGCGACGACGGGUAGCCGGCCUGAGAGGGCGACCGGCCACACUGGGACUGAGACACGGCCCAGACUCCUACGGGAGGCAGCAGUGGGGAAUAUUGCACAAUGGGCGAAAGCCUGAUGCAGCGACGCCGCGUGAGGGAUGACGGCCUUCGGGUUGUAAACCUCUUUCAGCAGGGAAGAAGCUUUUGUGACGGUACCUGCAGAAGAAGCACCGGCUAACUACGUGCCAGCAGCCGCGGUAAUACGUAGGGUGCGAGCGUUGUCCGGAAUUAUUGGGCGUAAAGAGCUUGUAGGCGGUUUUGUCGCGUCUGCUGUGAAAAUUCAGGGCUUAACCCUGGACGUGCAGUGGGUACGGGCAUACUAGAGUGUGGUAGGGGAGACUGGAAUUCCUGGUGUAGCGGUGGAAUGCGCAGAUAUCAUGAGGAACUCCUAUUGCGAAAGCAU